This 522-nucleotide ribosomal RNA is filed under the name actinobacterium KV-414. RNAcentral describes it as "bacterial SSU rRNA". It matches the Rfam family "Bacterial small subunit ribosomal RNA", at positions 68 to 606 of the family's 1533-position model. The record is from RNAcentral. Lineage: Bacteria; Bacillati; Actinomycetota; Actinomycetes.
GGAAAGGGCCUUUGGGGUACUCGAGCGGCGAACGGGUGAGUAACACGUGAGUAAUCUGCCCCAUGCUUCGGGAUAGCCAGCCGAAAGGCUGAUUAAUACCGGAUAUGACACUCUCCUGCAUGGGAUGGGUGUGGAAAGUUUUUUCGGCGUGGGAUGUGCUCGCGGCCUAUCAGCUUGUUGGUGGGGUAAUGGCCUACCAAGGCUUCGACGGGUAGCCGGCCUGAGAGGGUGACCGGCCACACUGGGACUGAGACACGGCCCAGACUCCUACGGGAGGCAGCAGUGGGGAAUAUUGGACAAUGGGCGGAAGCCUGAUCCAGCAACGCCGCGUGAGGGAUGACGGCCUUCGGGUUGUAAACCUCUUUCAGCACAGACGAAGCGAGAGUGACGGUAUGUGCAGAAGAAGGACCGGCCAACUACGUGCCAGCAGCCGCGGUAAUACGUAGGGUCCGAGCGUUGUCCGGAAUUAUUGGGCGUAAAGGGCUCGUAGGCGGUUUGUCGCGUCGGGAGUGAAAACCUACA